RNAcentral lists this transfer RNA (83 nucleotides) under Echinostoma caproni. It matches the Rfam family "tRNA". Rfam says of the family: Transfer RNA (tRNA) molecules are approximately 80 nucleotides in length. Their secondary structure includes four short double-helical elements and three loops (D, anti-codon, and T loops). The record is from Rfam by way of RNAcentral. Lineage: Eukaryota; Metazoa; Platyhelminthes; Trematoda; Plagiorchiida; Echinostomatidae.
GCUUCGUAGCUCAGAUGGUAGAGCGCAUACUGAACAAAAGCGUAGGCGGCGCCCAUGUGUGGGUUCGAAUCCCAUCGAUAGUA